This is a long non-coding RNA of Mustela erminea (ermine), 441 nucleotides long. RefSeq lists it as uncharacterized. The record is from RefSeq and is a predicted model, not a curated record. Lineage: Eukaryota; Metazoa; Chordata; Mammalia; Carnivora; Mustelidae. The transcript has 3 exons.
UCCACCCCGGGCCGCCCAGGGGCACGCCGGGAUUUGUUGUGUGUGGAGAGCGGCUACCGUGGGUUGCCGGGAGUUGCAGUUCCAGCGGACUACAGCUAACAUGGCUGCCUCGGCUUAGCCGGCUGGAGCUCCCUGGAGGACUCAUCUGGUGAGCCUUGAAUGUGAAAAGGUGGAGCCUACGGGAUUCAUGAAUGGGAUUAACGCCCUUUUGGAAGACUCAAGAUAACUCCCUUGGCGCUUAUACCAGAGAUGCUCCUCAUUAAAUGCCUGAUUGCUCACGUCAUCCACCAAAUAUCCUCUUCUACCAAGUCUCAACAGAUGGUUCAGCUCGUCCUUAAUAAACAAAGGGCAAUCAAAUGAGAAAUGGACUUACAUUGUUCGGAGAAAAGAAAAAUGUCUCUUCUUCCUGUCUCUUACUGUUCGUUGCAGCUAACAUCAGAA